GAUGAACGCUGGCGGCGUGCCUAAUACAUGCAAGUCGAGCGAAGCGGGGACGGGUGAGUAACACGUGGAUAACCUCCUAUAAGACUGGGAUAACUUCGGGAAACCGGAGCCAAACCGGCUACUUAUAGAUGUAUCCGCGCUGCAUUAGCUAGUUGGUAAGGUAACGGCUUACCAAGGCAACGAUGCAUAGCCGACCUGAGAGGAUGAUCGGCCACACGGGAACUGAGACACGGUCCAGACUCCUACGGGAGGCAGCAGUGGGGAAGCUUCCGCAAUGGGCGAAAGCCUGACGGAGCAAGGCCGCGUGGGUGAUGAAGGUCUUCGGGUCGUAAAGCUCUUUUAUUAGGGAAGCGGUACCUAAACAGAAAGCCACGGCUAACUACGUGCCAGCAGCCGCGGUAAUAC
This 405-nucleotide ribosomal RNA is filed under the name uncultured bacterium. Its description in RNAcentral is "partial 16S ribosomal RNA". It matches the Rfam family "Bacterial small subunit ribosomal RNA", at positions 28 to 526 of the family's 1533-position model. The record is from RNAcentral.